Molecule: ribosomal RNA, 467 nt
Filed under: uncultured bacterium
Lineage: Bacteria
Description: partial 16S ribosomal RNA
Rfam family: Bacterial small subunit ribosomal RNA
Source: RNAcentral
GACGAACGCUGGCGGCGUGCUUAACACAUGCAAGUCGAACGGAAAGGCCCUGCUUUUGUGGGGUGCUCGAGUGGCGAACGGGUGAGUAACACGUGAGUAACCUGCCCUUGACUUUGGGAUAACUUCAGGAAACUGGGGCUAAUACCGGAUAGGAGCUCCUGCUGCAUGGUGGGGGUUGGAAAGUUUCGGCGGUUGGGGAUGGACUCGCGGCUUAUCAGCUUGUUGGUGGGGUAGUGGCUUACCAAGGCUUUGACGGGUAGCCGGCCUGAGAGGGUGACCGGCCCAAUGGGGACUGGGAUACGGCCCAGACCCCUACGGGGGGCAGGAGGGGGGAAUAUUGCACAAUGGGCGGAAGCCUGAUGCAGCAACGCCGGGGGCGGGAUGACGGCCUUCGGGUUGUAAACCGCUUUCGCCUGUGACGAAGCGUGAGUGACGGUAAUGGGUAAAGAAGCACCGGCUAACUACGU